RNAcentral lists this long non-coding RNA (808 nucleotides) under Lepisosteus oculatus (spotted gar). Its description in RNAcentral is "lncRNA (ENSLOCG00000021815.1)". Lineage: Eukaryota; Metazoa; Chordata; Actinopteri; Semionotiformes; Lepisosteidae. The record is from RNAcentral.
CUCUCUGUCCGUUUUUUUCAUUUUUUAUUUUUUUGUCCUGUGCUGAUUCAAUUUACAUCAGUCCCAAUCAAAAGGCAAAAUGAACAUAUAUUAACUGAUCUUUUGUUUAAGAAGAAAAAAGUUAUUAUCCAGGGAUGAUUGUUACACCAGGAGGACAGCCGGUCCGGUGGCUCAGGUCCGGUUCUCUUAUUAGGAAGUUCCUAGUUUUAAAGCCCAGCUCUGCCUCUGUUUCACUGUGCCUCCUUAUUUUUGCUCCUCCUGGACAACUGUCAGGGAUCAAGCGUUUUUUCGGGAGCGCGGAAUCUUCUGUCGGGUCUUGUGGUGCAGCAGAGCUCGCCGCUGUCCACUCUGGGCCGGUUGGGGACUGCGACUGGGUCCCGUGUGUGUCUGUAGGGACAGAUCACGCUGCAGUCACGGGGGGGGCGAAGCAAGGCAUGCUGGGAAGGUGAGCGAAUCCUAGCCGUACAGGAAGAGGAAGUGAGGUCAGCUGCUGUUGUUUUAGCCUUCCGCCUGGACCAAUCCCCCAUUUCGCCUUCCGUUUCCAUUUGCUACCUGCGCGUAGAUCACAUUGAAUUUGUCCUGUCUGCUGACGUUGGACUUCCUGGACGCCUUCACAGUGGCGUACUGCAACUCCUCCUCCUCGCCCUGAAGGAAAAAAAAAACGCCCUUGGCAUCAUCUUUUCUCAGCUCAGUGCAAAUCACAACUUACGACGGCAAAUAGCAAAUUUAAACAUUACGGGUUCUGUUGUGGGGCUAUGUAAUUUUCUAGAGUACCACAGGGGUCUGUACUGGGACCACUGCUCUUAAU